CUGGCUCAGGACGAACGCUGGCGGCGUGCCUAAUACAUGCAAGUCGAGCGAACUUUUGGGAGCUUGCUCCCAAAAGUUAGCGGCGGACGGGUGAGUAACACGUGGGCAACCUGCCUGUAAGACUGGGAUAACUUCGGGAAACCGGAGCUAAUACCGGAUAAUUCUUUUCCUCUCAUGAGGAAAAGCUGAAAGGCGGCUUCGGCUGUCACUUACAGAUGGGCCCGCGGCGCAUUAGCUAGUUGGUGAGGUAACGGCUCACCAAGGCGACGAUGCGUAGCCGACCUGAGAGGGUGAUCGGCCACACUGGGACUGAGACACGGCCCAGACUCCUACGGGAGGCAGCAGUAGGGAAUCUUCCGCAAUGGACGAAAGUCUGACGGAGCAACGCCGCGUGAGUGAUGAAGGUUUUCGGAUCGUAAAACUCUGUUGUUAGGGAAGAACAAGUACGAGAGUAACUGCUCGUACCUUGACGGUACCUAACCAGAAAGCCACGGCUAACUACGUGCCAGCAGCCGCGGUAAUACGUAGGUGGCAAGCGUUGUCCGGAAUUAUUGGGCGUAAAGCGCGCGCAGGCGGUUCCUUAAGUCUGAUGUGAAAGCCCACGGCUCAACCGUGGAGGGUCAUUGGAAACUGGGGAACUUGAGUGCAGAAGAGAAGAGUGGAAUUCCACGUGUAGCGGUGAAAUGCGUAGAGAUGUGGAGGAACACCAGUGGCGAAGGCGACUCUUUGGUCUGUAACUGACGCUGAGGC
This 750-nucleotide ribosomal RNA is filed under the name Bacillus benzoevorans. RNAcentral describes it as "bacterial SSU rRNA". It matches the Rfam family "Bacterial small subunit ribosomal RNA", at positions 19 to 752 of the family's 1533-position model. The record is from RNAcentral. Lineage: Bacteria; Bacillati; Bacillota; Bacilli; Caryophanales; Bacillaceae.